UACAGAGGUCUCAAGCGUUGUUCGGAUUCAUUGGGCGUAAAGGGUGCGUAGGCGGCGCGGUAAGUCGGGUGUGAAAUCUCGGAGCUUAACUCCGAAACUGCAUUCGAUACUGCCGUGCUUGAGGACUGGAGAGGAGACUGGAAUUUACGGUGUAGCGGUGAAAUGCGUAGAUAUCGCAAGAACACCAGUGGCGAAGGCGGCUCACUGGCCCGAUACUGACGCUGAGGCACGAAAGCGUGGGGAGCAAACAGG
Molecule: ribosomal RNA, 252 nt
Filed under: uncultured bacterium
Lineage: Bacteria
Description: partial 16S ribosomal RNA
Rfam family: Bacterial small subunit ribosomal RNA
Source: RNAcentral